UGGGGAAUUGUUCGCAAUGGGCGCAAGCCUGACGACGCAACGCCGCGUGGAGGAUGAAGGUCUUCGGAUCGUAAACUUCUGUUGCCCGGGACGAAUAGCUUAGACCUAAUACGUCUGAGUAUGACGGUACCGGGUGAGGAAGCCCCGGCUAACUCUGUGCCAGCAGCCGCGGUAAUACAGAGGGGGCAAGCGUUGUUCGGAAUUACUGGGCGUAAAGAGCUCGUAGGCGGUUCGAUAAGUCGGGUGUGAAACCUCCAGGCUCAACCUGGAGACGCCACCCGAUACUGUUGUGACUAGAGUCCAGUAGGGGAGCGUGGAAUUCCUGGUGUAGCGGUGAAAUGCGUAGAGAUCGGGAGGAAGGCCGGUGGCGAAGGCGGCGCUCUGGAACAUUUCUGACGCUGAGGCUCGAAAGCGUGGGGAGCAAACAGGAUUAGAUACCCGAGUAGUCCCUGAGCGGGCUGGCAAGGCGC
Molecule: ribosomal RNA, 470 nt
Filed under: uncultured bacterium
Lineage: Bacteria
Description: partial 16S ribosomal RNA
Rfam family: Bacterial small subunit ribosomal RNA
Source: RNAcentral